AGGACGAACGCUGGCGGCGUGCUUAACACAUGCAAGUCGAACGAGGUGCUUGCACCUAGUGGCGAACGGGUGAGUAACACGUGAGCAACCUGCCCUUGGCUCUGGGAUAGCCUCCGGAAAACGGGGAUUAAUACCGGACAUGACCUGCUCCUGCAUGGGGGCGGGUGGAAAGUUUUUCGGCCAGGGAGGGGCUCGCGGCCUAUCAGCUUGUUGGGGGGGUAACGGCCCACCAAGGCGACGACGGGUAG
This 248-nucleotide ribosomal RNA is filed under the name uncultured bacterium. RNAcentral's name for it is "partial small subunit ribosomal RNA". It matches the Rfam family "Bacterial small subunit ribosomal RNA", at positions 26 to 286 of the family's 1533-position model. The record is from RNAcentral.